GACGAACGCUGGCGGCGUGCUUAACACAUGCAAGUCGAACGGAAAGGCCCUGCUUUUGUGGGGUGCUCGAGUGGCGAACGGGUGAGUAACACGUGAGUAACCUGCCCUUGACUUUCGGAUAACUUCAGGAAACUGGGGCUAAUACCGGAUAUGAGCUCCUGCUGCAUGGUGGGGGUUGGAAAGUUUCGGCGGUUGGGGAUGGACUCGCGGCUUAUCAGCUUGUUGGUGGGGUAGUGGCUUACCAAGGCUUUGACGGGUAGCCGGCCUGAGAGGGUGACCGGGCACAUUGGGCCUGAGAGACGGCCCAGACGCCUACGGGAGGCAGCAGGGGGAAAUAUUGCACAAUGGGCGGAAGUGUGAGGAAGAGACGCCGCGUGCGGGAUGACGGCCUUCGGGUUGAAAACCGAUGUCGCCUGUGACGAAGCGGGAGUGACGGUAAUGGGUAAAGAAGCACCGGCUAACUACGUG
Molecule: ribosomal RNA, 468 nt
Filed under: uncultured bacterium
Lineage: Bacteria
Description: partial 16S ribosomal RNA
Rfam family: Bacterial small subunit ribosomal RNA
Source: RNAcentral